AUUGAACGCUGGCGGCAGGCCUAACACAUGCAAGUCGAGCGGAUGAAGGGAGCUUGCUCCUGGAUUCAGCGGCGGACGGGUGAGUAAUGCCUAGGAAUCUGCCUGGUAGUAGGGGAUAACGUCCGGAAACGGGCGCUAAUACCGCAUACGUCCUGAGGGAGAAAGUGGGUGAUCUUCGGACCUCACGCUAUCAGAUGAGCCUAGGUCGGAUUAGCUAGUUGGUGGGGUAAAGGCCUACCAAGGCGACGAUCCGUAACUGGUCUGAGAGGAUGAUCAGUCACACUGGAGCUGAGCCACGGUCCAGACUCCUACGGGAGGCAGCAGUGGGGAAUAUUGGACAAUGGGCGAAAGCCUGAUCCAGCCAUGCCGCGUGUGUGAAGAAGGUCUUCGGAUUGUAAAGCACUUUAAGUUGGGAGGAAGGGCAGUAAGUUAAUACCUUGCUGUUUUGACGUUACCAACAGAAUAAGCACCGGCUAACUUCGUG
This 484-nucleotide ribosomal RNA is filed under the name uncultured bacterium. Its description in RNAcentral is "partial 16S ribosomal RNA". It matches the Rfam family "Bacterial small subunit ribosomal RNA", at positions 30 to 507 of the family's 1533-position model. The record is from RNAcentral.